GCCCGGUUAGCUCAAUCGGUAGAGCGUGAGACUCUUACCAUACAUGAAAUCUCAAGGUUGCGGGUUCGACCCCCGCAUCGGGCU
Transfer RNA from Claviceps purpurea 20.1, 84 nucleotides. It matches the Rfam family "tRNA". From Rfam's summary of the family: Transfer RNA (tRNA) molecules are approximately 80 nucleotides in length. The record is from Rfam. Lineage: Eukaryota; Fungi; Ascomycota; Sordariomycetes; Hypocreales; Clavicipitaceae.